RNAcentral lists this ribosomal RNA (495 nucleotides) under uncultured bacterium. RNAcentral describes it as "partial 16S ribosomal RNA". It matches the Rfam family "Bacterial small subunit ribosomal RNA", at positions 29 to 523 of the family's 1533-position model. The record is from RNAcentral.
AUUGAACGCUGGCGGCAUGCCUUACACAUGCAAGUCGAACGACGCUAGGGGCAACUCUAGCGAGUGGCGUACGGGUGAGUAAUGCAUCGGAACGUGCCCUCUCGUGGGGGAUAACCAGUCGAAAGAUUGGCUAAUACCGCAUGAGCUCGAGAGAGGAAAGCGGGGGACCGCAAGGCCUCGCGCGAGAGGAGCGGCCGAUGGCCGAUUAGCUAGUUGGUGGGGUAAUGGCCCACCAAGGCGACGAUCGGUAGCUGGUCUGAGAGGACGACCAGCCACACUGGGACUGAGACACGGCCCAGACUCCUACGGGAGGCAGCAGUGGGGAAUUUUGGACAAUGGGGGCAACCCUGAUCCAGCCAUGCCGCGUGUGUGAAGAAGGCCUUCGGGUUGUAAAGCACUUUCGGACGGAACGAAAUCGCGCGGGUGAACAAUCCGCGUGGAUGACGGUACCGUAAGAAGAGGCACCGGCUAACUACGUGCCAGCCGCCGCGGUAA